RNAcentral lists this transfer RNA (72 nucleotides) under Microphysogobio chenhsienensis. RNAcentral's name for it is "Huigobio chenhsienensis tRNA-Asp". It matches the Rfam family "tRNA". Rfam says of the family: Transfer RNA (tRNA) molecules are approximately 80 nucleotides in length. Their secondary structure includes four short double-helical elements and three loops (D, anti-codon, and T loops). Lineage: Eukaryota; Metazoa; Chordata; Actinopteri; Cypriniformes; Gobionidae. The record is from RNAcentral.
AAGAUAUUAGUAAAAUGCAAAUUACACCACCUUGUCAAGGUGGCAUUACAGGUUAAAUCCCUGUAUGUCUUA